This is a small nuclear RNA of Bison bison bison, 105 nucleotides long. The record is from Ensembl. NCBI's taxonomy places the organism in Eukaryota, Metazoa, Chordata, Mammalia, Artiodactyla, Bovidae.
GUACUCAUUUCAGCAGCACAUACACUAAAAUUGGAAGCAUAGAGAAGAUUAGAACAGCCCCUGAACAAGGAUGACAUGCAAGCUCUUGGAACAAGCCCUUUGUUU